UGUGCUGUGACACUUUUGAAUUUUCAUCUGAUUUUAUAAGCAAGUAGUUUUUCAAUGAGGUGAAACUUGGGGUAUGUAAGACCAAUCAGACUCCUGAAAUAGGUACCCUAGUCUGGAAAGGUUGAGACACUGCUGUACUCCCCCACCUUGGCCUUUUCUGUGAUGCACCCACUCAGCAGUCAGUGAGGCUGAAGUUUGCUACUCCCUUCUUCCACCAGCAGCAAAGUGUAGUUUUAAUUUGUCUGAAAUGUGUACUGUGAUUUAGGCCAGGGGUUCUCAACCAGUGGUCUCUGAUCCCAGUGGCCCUGAAUCUCUCUGGCCCUGCUCCCCUUGGGCCAGAAGCCAGGAGCCCAUGGGUGGAGUUGUGGGGGCACAGGAGUGUUGCCCCCCAGGCUGCAGUGUCAGAGCUGGGCAGUCCUGGAGGUAGCUCCCAAACGCCCACCUCCUCCCUGCAUCCGAGGCCCCACCACCUGUCCAGGUAGGAGGUGGGAAGCAGAAGCCAAGCAAUGUGGGGCAACUGCUACUCUGACUGGUGCCAUGGAGCAGACUGUUGCAGCAUUCCUGUUUCUUGCUGGUGCCCAGCGUUGCAGCUGCUCCUUAGCUCCCAGCCCCCUGUGAAUGCUCAUGGAGCUUAUAAGAGCCACCCGGCUGGGGGGAUCUAGCUCCAUGUCUGGCAGAGCCCUUGGGGCGCAACAACUGCAGGGGAGUUCUCCCAGCCCCCUACAUUAGGGUUAAACAAGACCCAUAACAAAUUUAGACCUUGUAUGUGUUGGUUUAUGAACCUGAUGGUUGAAUGGGGGAACCAAGUUAGGCUUCAGCUUGUGUGUAUUUGGUUUGUUUUUUGGUAAUGGCAAAAGAGGCUGGGUUUAAAGGCUUUUCCCAUCAUGUAGUAUAUGGACUACAAAGAAAAUAGCACUGGUGGUUCUGAGGUAUUUGUUAAUCGAAAAGCAUAUUCAUGGACAUACAGUGGUUCAUUUACACAAAUGUAGCAUUCUUAUAUGGUAAAUAUUACCCAGCCAUGAUUUAAUUUUAACUGAAGUAACAUUGUUUCCUCAAGCAACCAACCCUUGUACACAUUUUCUUAACCAAAAAAAAAAAAAAAACUAACUUCUUCAAAAGGAGAUUCAAGGUCACUCAAACUUAACAGUGUGAAAACCUUUAUACAGAAUGUUCCUUUUCAAUAGGGAAGCGUAAUAUUUGGCCUGCGAAGACCUGAUUUAAUUUUGUGUUAAUUGAAUUUACUUACAUCGUAAAUGGAAUUCUGAUUCCUAUACAUGGGGGUUUUUUUAAGCAAAGAAAUUUGAGGUACAGUUGUUACUACUACUGACAAAACUUUAACAGUAAUAGUAUGGAAAAUACUGCUACUUAUAAAAAAGCCGAUCUAUAUAUUAGACUACCAAAAUAACUGUGAAAUCAAUGUUCCAAGAAAAAUGUAAGGAAAUUACAGGCCCAAUCCUGAGCCCAUUGAAAUUAAUGGCAACAGGAUAGGACUUUUAUUAAAAGAUGUUGCUUUUAUUCUCUAAAUAAUAUAGUGAGUUGAGGGUUUAAUGGUCUAAGCUGGACUUCCUGGAACCAUAACUGUAUUUCGUAUUGAUCAUCUGCUGAUAAUGUUAGCUUAGUCGUUUGAUCUUCCAAGGUAGAUAAGGAUUGCCAACUGUGGCUGUUUUAGUCAAGACCCCUGUGUUAUGUGUGGACAUUAAUGAUCUCAUGUGAGCUGGUGUCUUUAGCCAAAAUGUUCCCUGUCCUAGUUUUGUAGUAUCAGUUGGUUACCACCCACCUCUUUCAGUGGGUCUGCUUGGGGUAUGGAUAGCUCAGUGGUUUGAACAUUGGCCUGCUAAACCCAGGGUUGUGAGUUCAAUCCCUGAGGGGGCCAUUUGUGGAUUUAGUUGGGGAUUGGUCCUGCUUUGAGCCAGGGGGUUGGAGUAGAUGACCUCCUGAGGUCCCUUCCAACCCUGAUAUUCUAUGACAUUGGGCAAAAUCAUGUGGGUAUUACCAGUUUGAGACAAACUCCUAUUGACUUGUCUGAUAGUCUGUAAAGUGUUUUAGAAUGAAAGCUGCUGAAUAAAUGCGAACUCAUGUAUUAGCAUAAAAAUGAAGCCUAAACACUUGUCUACCUUGAAAGCUGCCCCAUUUCAAUUUUACUUCAUGAUUCUAGUGAUGCAUUUUAUUUCUGAAACUGAAGAUUACUGUACCCUAACUAUUUUAAAACCAAUGGAUUGUGUAAUCCAAAUGCUAAUAAGCUUGUGCAAAUGCACCUUCUGCUACACAGCAAUUAUGAUGCAAUCACUUAUCUUCUAUGAUGAUGCUUGUGUUCUGGGAUUUAAACAGGUCACAUGAUAAGUUGAAUCUUUGAGCUGACUGAGAUUUAAAAUAUUAACAGCCUAGUUUGUUUUUGUAAGAUAACUAUUCAUAGAUAAGAACUGGGGUGGAAAUUGUCUUUGAAUGUAGGUCACUGGGUAAGCCUAAUAUUUGACUCCCUCUGAAUAAGAAUCUUUAAAAGAUAAAAUGCACACAGGAGUCUUAUUUUUAGUGGAUAUCUCUAGGGGCUUGAUGCCCCAUGUACCAGGCUACCAGGAGUGGGCAUCAUAGUCUUGGAAGAUGCAUUUUUCAGCAAGGGAGCCCUGAGGGAUACAGGUUUCCUUAGCAUGUAUCCCACUGAUUAUUUGUAUUUAGUGACUAAGAGUCCUAGUCAUGGACCGGGACACCAUUGUGCUAGGUACUGUACAAGCAGCCCAAAGUCACUUGGGUGUAUUUAGUAUGCUAAUGUUGCUACAGGUACUUCACCCAGUAUUCUGCUCCCUCCUUAUGUUCUCAGGUCUCUGAGAUUUUCAGCACUUCUGAAAAUCAGGCCACUUAUAUAAGUGCCCAAAAUGGAUGUAGCUUCUGAACUUUAUGUAAUUGACUGAAAUUUUGGGGGAUUUAAGAUCUGUUUUCUCGUCUGAAAACUGGGAUAAUGCCUUCCUACUUGUUUAUGUUUGUAAAGUGUGUUGAGGUUCUUGAAAAAAGGGUGUUAUAGUUUACAAGUGCAAAGUAAUAGUGUGGCCCUGAAUCCACUCUGCACUAUAAAUAAAGUGCUUAGAUGAAUGAUGGACCAAUAUGCACAGAUUGCAUAUAAUGUGAAGGUUGUUUUUUCUCUGCAAGGCUAUCACUGGGGGCAGGAACAGGAUGACUUAGCAACUGUGUUUUAUCUGCUGUUGUCAUAUCAAUCUGAAGUCAAUGACUGUGUGCCAAUAGUUACCCCUCAGGUUUUAUUGCGGGGAGGGCAGCCACCUGUUAAAAAUUCUCACUUCUAGCUGUUUAUCUCGUAUCAGAGGUUGUCUAUUUCUUCCUCUGCUUUUUAGACUACAGGUAGGUGAAAUGGGGAGGUACAGGUACUUCUAUUCACCCCUGGACUUUCUCCCCAGCCUUUCAAUAACUACAUCUGAUUGUGGGAGUGGGGGCAUAGGUAUGCCUUUCAAAUGUCAUUUCCCUUCGGCCACCUUAUAGAUCCUGCCUAGAAGCAGCUGUAUUAUCUUCAUGAAACUUUGUUGCCCAGGCCGGCUCCAUCCCCUGUGAUGAUGAGGCAGGAAUGUGCCUUUGUGAGGCUUCUAAGUGAAAAAGCACAUUAUAGCCAGAAGCCCUAACCCUGCAGAAAUAAUAAGAACAAGAACAUAAGAGCAGCCAUACCGGGUCAAACCAAAGUAUUGUCUUCCGAUGGUGGCCAGUGCCAGGUGCCUCAGAGGGAAUGAACAGAACAGUCUUGGCCUUCACAACAUCCUCUGGCAAAGAGUUCCUCAGACUGACUGCAUUAUGUGAAAAAAUACGAAGCUGUUCCAUCUCGGUGAGAGUUUGUUCCUUUGCCAGCUCUAUUUCUACAUCUGCAUUUGUUCUAUAUGCACCUCCAGUGACAGCUACUGUACCCAGGUCAGGUGCCAGUGCAGGUGGGAGUGCCUGGCUUGUUUCACCCCAGAACCAAGGCCAACCCUUCUCAUGCAUGCUCACUGCAGCCUGCAGCCAUGGGGUACUUAUUAGCCUUUCUAUCCAUUUCACUCUGAAGGGACCUGAGAUGCUUUGUGUCCAUUUUGCCACUAACAUACUAGCUUGGUAGAAACCAGACCAACUUUGCAGCCCUAUCUCUAUCCUCCUAAAAUAUUGCUUUUAUAAUGUUUUGACACCUUUUUCCCCCCCCGGUACUAAAAUAAUUAAAUUCCCCUUUAAUUACAUUAUAACUUUUUACUACUUUGUCACUAUUUUUUUUUCAUGUUAUUUCUAAUAU
Molecule: non-coding RNA, 4255 nt
Organism: Chrysemys picta bellii (western painted turtle)
Lineage: Eukaryota; Metazoa; Chordata; Testudines; Emydidae
Source: RefSeq, a predicted model, not a curated record